GGAGGUUACCGCUAUCGGUGUUCGCCUAACCCAUGCAAGUCAUAUGUUCUUCGUGAACAUGGCGUACUGCUCAUUAACACGUGAAUAACCUGCCCUUGGGACCGGCAUAACCCCGGGAAACUGGGGAUAAUUCCGGAUACCGCAUAUAUGCUGGAAUGCUUUAUGCGUGAAAUGGAUUCGUCUGCCCAAGGAUGGGUCUGCGGCCUAUCAGGUAGUAGUGGGUGUAAUGUACCUACCACCCUACAACGGGUACGGGUUGUGAAAGCAAGAGCCCGGAAAUGGAUUCUGAAACAUGAAUCCAGGCCCUACGGGGCGCACCAGGCGCGAAAACUUUACAAUGCGGGAAACCGUGAUAAGGGGACACCGAGUGCCAGCAACAUUUGUUGGCUGUCCAGGUGUGUAAACUACACCUGUUAGCAAGGGCCGGGCAAGACCGGUGC
Molecule: ribosomal RNA, 440 nt
Filed under: uncultured archaeon
Lineage: Archaea
Description: bacterial SSU rRNA
Rfam family: Archaeal small subunit ribosomal RNA
Source: RNAcentral